CAGCCAACAAACUGCCAGAGCGACUAUCGGCAGCGGUGCUAGCCCAGCAAGGCAGCUGUGACACCAGGCCAGGCCCUAGCGGCUCUGUCCCAGCCACUCGCACAGAUGUAUCUUGCAGCCAGCCCAGCUCAGGGAGCAGUGGUGACAGGUGAUCUCAUCCUGUCAAACCAAGCAACAUGGGUCUCAUUGAGGCUCAGAUGGAAGUUCCUAUGCAUCUUCUGGGGAGGAUGUGUCCAGGAUCCUGGAGACUGUUUCCUGCAGAAAGUUUGAGCGGAGAGAGAGUACUCAUUGUCAUGACCCAUGGGUCUUCAGCCCGGGUCUGCAGGGUUCACAGGAGCAGACACACUCCAGCCCUCCACCUGGGAGCCUGCUGACAAAUGCUUACCUAGGACCCAUGGAGUCCAGCCCCACUUUGAGGAUCCACCCCUGAGGCCUAUUGGUGGAGUCCCAGACUAGCUAAUUGACCCCCGGGCCCUCCUUAAGCCAGCAGCAGGAACAGGAAGCUGUCUGAACACCCAAGCACCUCCCUCUUCUGGACUGUGUGCUACCUGCUCCCGCUCCCCCGGCUUGAUUUCCUGGCAUCCAGACUCGGUGCGACUCGUGGCAUCCGAUGUGUGGUUCUGAUCACAAGUUUGUCUUUUACUUCGGACCUUCCAGUAUCCUGACCCAGCUGACACUCAACUCCUGUCUUGUGAGUGUGGACUCUGGCUCUGACCAUUAGGUCUGGCUGCCCCUGACCUGGCCGUGACACUGACUUUUGUACAAUUUCUCCAAUGCCCUUUUCUGCUCUCCAGCUCUGCUCCCUCCAGCAAGACACACCAAUCCCUUGGCUCCCAAAGUCCUGGUUGCCUGCUAUUCCAGGGCUGAGGGGUCGUGCUUGUAUUGCCCUCACCACAGCUGCUUUUCCUAUGGGAAUCUUCCUAGAGCAGAGGAGCAACCUACUGUAUUUUCCACUCCAUGCAUCUGAUGAAGUGGGUUUUAGCA
Mauremys reevesii (Reeves's turtle) is the source of this 984-nucleotide long non-coding RNA. RefSeq lists it as uncharacterized. The transcript is spliced from 3 exons. The record is from RefSeq and is a predicted model, not a curated record. NCBI's taxonomy places the organism in Eukaryota, Metazoa, Chordata, Testudines, Geoemydidae.